UACGGAGGAUCCAAGCGUUAUCCGGAUUUAUUGGGUUUAAAGGGUGCGUAGGCGGCCUUGUAAGUCAGGGGUGAAAGACGGUAGCUCAACUAUCGCAGUGCCCUUGAUACUGCAGGGCUUGAAUACACUAGAGGUAGGCGGAAUGUGACAAGUAGCGGUGAAAUGCGUAGAUAUGUCACAGAACACCGGUUGCGAAGGCAACUUACUAGGGUGCAACUGACGCUGAGGCACGAAAGCGUGGGGAGCAAACAGG
This 253-nucleotide ribosomal RNA is filed under the name uncultured bacterium. Its description in RNAcentral is "partial 16S ribosomal RNA". It matches the Rfam family "Bacterial small subunit ribosomal RNA", at positions 524 to 776 of the family's 1533-position model. The record is from RNAcentral.